Molecule: ribosomal RNA, 253 nt
Filed under: uncultured bacterium
Lineage: Bacteria
Description: partial 16S ribosomal RNA
Rfam family: Bacterial small subunit ribosomal RNA
Source: RNAcentral
UACGUAGGUGGCAAGCGUUAUCCGGAUUUACUGGGUGUAAAGGGCGUGUAGGCGGGAAAGCAAGCCAGAUGUGAAAGCCAUGGGCUCAACCUGUGGCCUGCAUUUGAAACUGUUUUUCUUGAGUACUGGAGAGGCAGACGGAAUUCCUAGUGUAGCGGUGAAAUGCGUAGAUAUUAGGAGGAACACCAGUGGCGAAGGCGGUCUGCUGGACAGCAACUGACGCUGAGGCGCGAAAGCGUGGGGAGCAAACAGG